Camelus ferus (Wild Bactrian camel) is the source of this 73-nucleotide transfer RNA. It matches the Rfam family "tRNA". From Rfam's summary of the family: Transfer RNA (tRNA) molecules are approximately 80 nucleotides in length. Their secondary structure includes four short double-helical elements and three loops (D, anti-codon, and T loops). Further hydrogen bonds mediate the characteristic L-shaped molecular structure. tRNAs have two regions of fundamental functional importance: the anti-codon, which is responsible for specific mRNA codon recognition, and the 3' end, to which the tRNAs corresponding amino acid is attached (by aminoacyl-tRNA synthetases). tRNAs cope with the degeneracy of the genetic code in two manners: having more than one tRNA (with a specific anti-codon) for a particular amino acid; and 'wobble' base-pairing, i.e. permitting non-standard base-pairing at the 3rd anti-codon position. Lineage: Eukaryota; Metazoa; Chordata; Mammalia; Artiodactyla; Camelidae. The record is from Rfam.
GAGGGUAUAGCUCAAGUGGUAGAGUGCGUGCUUAGCGUGCACAAGAUCCUGGGUUCAAUCCCCAGUACCUCCU